This 508-nucleotide ribosomal RNA is filed under the name uncultured bacterium. RNAcentral describes it as "partial 16S ribosomal RNA". It matches the Rfam family "Bacterial small subunit ribosomal RNA", at positions 28 to 523 of the family's 1533-position model. The record is from RNAcentral.
GACGAACGCUGGCGGCGCGCUUAACACAUGCAAGUCGAGCGAGAACCAGGGCUUCGGCCCUGGGGACAGCGGCGAACGGGUGAGUAACACGUGGAUAACCUGCCCUCGGCACCGGGAUAGCCCGGGGAAACCCGGAUUAAUACCGGAUGGCCCUUCAGGCUCACGAGCCGGUCGGAAGAGGUAGCUUCGGCCUCCGGCCGAGGAUGGGUCCGCGGCGGAUUAGGUUGUUGGUGGGCUAACGGCCCACCAAGGCUCCGAUCCGUAGCUGGUCUGAGAGGACGCUCAGCCACACUGGGACUGAGACACGGCCCAGACUCCUACGGGAGGCAGCAGUGGGGAAUCUUGCGCAAUGGGCGAAAGCCUGACGCAGCGACGCCGCGUGAGGGAGGAAGGCCUUCGGGUUGUAAACCUCUUUCAGGAGGGACGAAGCUACUCGGGUGAAUAGCCCAGAGGGUGACGGUACCUCCAGAAGAAGCCCCGGCUAACUACGUGCCAGCAGCCGCGGUAA